RNAcentral lists this ribosomal RNA (700 nucleotides) under Acinetobacter sp. RNAcentral's name for it is "bacterial SSU rRNA". It matches the Rfam family "Bacterial small subunit ribosomal RNA", at positions 59 to 753 of the family's 1533-position model. The record is from RNAcentral. Lineage: Bacteria; Pseudomonadati; Pseudomonadota; Gammaproteobacteria; Moraxellales; Moraxellaceae.
CAGUCGAGCGGGGAGAUGUAGCUUGCUACAUUUCCUAGCGGCGGACGGGUGAGUAAUGCUUAGGAAUCUGCCUAUUAGUGGGGGACAACAUUCCGAAAGGAAUGCUAAUACCGCAUACGCCCUACGGGGGAAAGCAGGGGAUCUUCGGACCUUGCGCUAAUAGAUGAGCCUAAGUCAGAUUAGCUAGUUGGUGGGGUAAAGGCCUACCAAGGCGACGAUCUGUAGCGGGUCUGAGAGGAUGAUCCGCCACACUGGGACUGAGACACGGCCCAGACUCCUACGGGAGGCAGCAGUGGGGAAUAUUGGACAAUGGGCGAAAGCCUGAUCCAGCCAUGCCGCGUGUGUGAAGAAGGCCUUUUGGUUGUAAAGCACUUUAAGCGAGGAGGAGGCUACUUGGAUUAAUACUCUAGGAUAGUGGACGUUACUCGCAGAAUAAGCACCGGCUAACUCUGUGCCAGCAGCCGCGGUAAUACAGAGGGUGCGAGCGUUAAUCGGAUUUACUGGGCGUAAAGCGUGCGUAGGCGGCUUCUUAAGUCGGAUGUGAAAUCCCUGAGCUUAACUUAGGAAUUGCAUUCGAUACUGGGAAGCUAGAGUAUGGGAGAGGAUGGUAGAAUUCCAGGUGUAGCGGUGAAAUGCGUAGAGAUCUGGAGGAAUACCGAUGGCGAAGGCAGCCAUCUGGCCUAAUACUGACGCUGAGGUA